RNAcentral lists this ribosomal RNA (2138 nucleotides) under Triticum aestivum (bread wheat). Its description in RNAcentral is "partial small subunit ribosomal RNA". Lineage: Eukaryota; Viridiplantae; Streptophyta; Magnoliopsida; Poales; Poaceae. The record is from RNAcentral.
GAGUUUGUCGCCCGCCUGGUAAACCCAGCACGGAACUGCUCCACCGAGUGUGCCGCGCUAAGGGGGGCGCGGCGCUGGGUUUGGCUUCGGGGGUGUGUGCUUGCGGUGGUCGUGCUCUGCUAUGUCUGCUCUGGUCGUCGAGGUAGAGGUCUUAAGCACACGGAAGAGGGUGGUGAUGCGCCGAGGGCUCCGCUGCUUAACCCGGAGAGGAGGAAGAGGGGAAGGCCAGCGGCGGCGAUGCAGCUAUAACCUUCCCCGAGACUGUUGAGCUUGUGGCUGAAUUCAACGUACCCCUCUCCUACGGUCUUGACGCGUCGUCAUGAGGGGUUCGUGCAGACUCCAAGUCCUUCGAACUACUAGUUGUUCGUCUCGGCCGACACUUUGGCCACGGUGGACGAGGUGUCUCUCGUCCCUUCUCGCAAGUAUAUGGACGACGGUCCCCGUCUUUCCCACGAGGAACCUCUUCUCACCACGGCCGUGGUUCUGCACGUUCUUUCCCCCGCCUUCAACAACUGAACCUACGAUUGGACCCAAGACUUGUGGAGGGAUUUCGACAACGGUAUGUACGUCAACAAACACUUAGGUUCCUGGGACGAAACUUGUUCCAACAAGUCACACAGCCGUUAUUUCCAAACUCUUACCUACCACUUUCACGACUUUUCGAACAGCCGCGACUUCUGCUAAGUUCUUAUCGUGGUUAGGGCCUCUCCCAAGUGCAUCCAUUAAGAGGACACAUAUAUUGACUGUCCUUUGAUCCAUUUCCACCGAAACCAGUUCACAUACAACCAUCUUCCCAUAGACCACCCUGACGGGCGUGACCAGGACUACGUAUACUCCAACGUAACUUCAAACUCGUGGCCUCAUCAUUUCCCACGUUAAAACGUGGGGGUAUACUCACCGUUCAAAUAGUCUGAGAGUUGCCGACGAUACCACAUGGCCGUCAGGUGAUAUUCCCGGCCGUCCCGCUGAUGAUAUAGGAACAUUACCUAUAGGAACCAGGGUCAGAAACCCUACAUACCUUAAGCGACCCUGUUCUCUACAGAGGUGUAUACCGACGAACGUAACGACAUCUUCGGUAUAGUUAAGAACUCUUCAAAGUAAGGUUUCCCAAACAAGUACCACUACACUUUGGUCUCUUGAAAGACGAACCAGACGGACCUAGUGGACUCCUCUUCUUCGAAAAGGAAUAACUAGAACCAAAUCGUAGUUUCACCUCUCUAAGCAGUCCAGUUGUACAACUAAUACUAGUUUCCCCCUGUUAAUCUAUACGUUCACGAGUACGAGUAGAUCCAGCAUGUCCAUCAUCCUCCCUACUAAAUCUCAGUAACCGUAUGUGGGAAUAUAAAAACUAUUUUCCUUCUAACGGAACCGUUCCGAUGGUCCCUCUAUGGUUCUCAAAGGAACAAACGUUCUUUUUUUACCAAUGGAGAGGCCUAUACGAUACGUCAAAGACGGGUGGAGGCAAGUUUGUCAAAGAACUCAGACAGUGUUUAUACUUUAAACUACUUCUCGGUUUAAUGCGGUUUGAAUAAAGAGAGAAACUUUCAAACUAACUUAGUGGACGUAGUUCCGGGUAGUCUUAACUACCCCGGGAAUUCCACCCCGUUUUUGCACCUUCCGAUGAACAUUUAGUACUUCUUCUACUAGUCGGAUUCUUCUUUCAAUCUAAUCCCUCGGGUCGUAGUGUCACCUAAAGUCAAAUGUUACGGUCCGCGGGAUACUUCGUCGCCAUAGUAAUGUUACACCGACUGUUGUCCGAAGUUGUCGUAUAUCUUUUCCCAUUACUCCUACCAGAUAUGUAGUCAACACACCGAAGAAGUCGUUUGGUACCGGCAUACCACGAAGAGAGGCCCUACCUCAUCAUCUAAUGUACCGGCUAUUUACCCGGUUCUUAGACAUGUAACGAAGCUAGACGAUACCCUCUUGACAGUCAACUGGUUGCAUUGAAGUUCGGGUUCCCUCCCUGCAAAUCAUGAAACCGUUUACUCGUAGUCAACUACACUCUAUGUUCUCUUAACGGUACUAUCCUAAGUUUUCGUCUUCAACUACACUACCAAUUGAGCUGGAUUAACAUUUUGGCUUACGUACAACACCUGGAAGAGGUAUUCUUCGAUUGUAUUAGGUGUGCUUUAAACGUA